This 77-nucleotide transfer RNA is filed under the name Clostridium sp. RNAcentral describes it as "tRNA-Pro". It matches the Rfam family "tRNA". From Rfam's summary of the family: Transfer RNA (tRNA) molecules are approximately 80 nucleotides in length. Their secondary structure includes four short double-helical elements and three loops (D, anti-codon, and T loops). RNAcentral also lists the same sequence under 5 other names. The record is from RNAcentral. Lineage: Bacteria; Bacillati; Bacillota; Clostridia; Eubacteriales; Clostridiaceae.
CGGGGCGUAGCGCAGCUUGGUAGCGCGUUUGGUUCGGGACCAAAAGGUCGCGUGUUCAAAUCACGUCGCCCCGACCA